AAAGGUUUGGUCCUAGCCUUGGAGUCAAUUCUUAUUUAAUAUACACAUGCAAGUAUCCGCACCCCAGUGAGAACGCCCUUAUUUCCCCUCUAGGGAACAGGAGCUGGUAUCAGGCCCAAUAAUUUGCCCAAAACACCUAGUCUCGCCACACCCUCAAGGGUCUUCAGCAGUGAUAAACAUUGAGCAUGAGCGAUAGCUUGACUCAGUUAAACUUAUUUAGAGCCGGCCAAUCUGGUGCCAGCCGCCGCGGUUACACCAUCGUGGCUCAAAUUGACCCCUUUCGGCGUAAAGCGUGAUUAAAGUUUUUUCCAAACAACUGGAAUUCAACUAAAACUAAGCCGUGACACGCUUGUUUUUAAGAAAACCACAAACGAAAGUUAUUCCAAUUAAUUCAACUUGAACUCACGUCAUCUGAGAAACAAACUGGGAUUAGAUACCCCACUAUGCUCAGUCGUAAACUUUAACUUACUUCCUUCUCGCCAGGGAACUACGAGCUAAGCUUAAAACCCAAAGGACUUGACGGUACCCCAUAUCCCCCUAGAGGAGCCUGUCCUAUAAUCGAUAAUCCCCGUUUAACCUCACCAUUUUUAGUUAUUCAGCCUGUAUACCUCCGUCGUCAGCUUACCACGUGAGCGUUAGUGAGCCAAAUGUUUUUUCAACCACACGUCAGGUCAAGGUGCAACAAAUGAAAUGGGAAGAGAUGGGCUACAUUUUCUAUAUUAGACUACACGAAAGACUUUAUGAAACCUAGUCAGAAGGCGGAUUUAGAAGUAAAAUGGAACUAGAGAGUCCUUUUUAACCUGGCACUGGGGUGUGUACACACCGCCCGUCACCCUCCUCAAUGCUAACAAACAGUUUUUAACACCUUUAAGCAACACAGAAGAGGCAAGUCGUAACAUGGUAAGUAUACCGGAAGGUGUACUUGGAAA
RNAcentral lists this non-coding RNA (929 nucleotides) under Phyllobates bicolor. RNAcentral's name for it is "12S ribosomal RNA". It matches the Rfam family "Bacterial small subunit ribosomal RNA". The record is from RNAcentral. Lineage: Eukaryota; Metazoa; Chordata; Amphibia; Anura; Dendrobatidae.